RNAcentral lists this ribosomal RNA (486 nucleotides) under uncultured bacterium. RNAcentral describes it as "partial 16S ribosomal RNA". It matches the Rfam family "Bacterial small subunit ribosomal RNA", at positions 30 to 507 of the family's 1533-position model. The record is from RNAcentral.
AUUGAACGCUGGCGGCAUGCCUUACACAUGCAAGUCGAACGGCAGCACGGGUGCUUGCCCCUGGUGGCGAGUGGCGAACGGGUGAGUAAUACAUCGGAACAUGUCCUGUAGUGGGGGAUAGCCCGGCGAAAGCCGGAUUAAUACCGCAUACGAUCUACGGAUGAAAGCGGGGGACCUUCGGGCCUCGCGCUAUAGGGUUGGCCGAUGGCUGAUUAGCUAGUUGGUGGGGUAAAGGCCUACAAAGGCGACGAUCAGUAGCUGGUCUGAGAGGACGACCAGCCACACUGGGACUGAGACACGGCCCAGACUCCUACGGGAGGCAGCAGUGGGGAAUUUUGGACAAUGGGCGAAAGCCUGAUCCAGCAAUGCCGCGUGUGUGAAGAAGGCCUUCGGGUUGUAAAGCACUUUUGUCCGGAAAGAAAUCCUUGGCCCUAAUACGGUCGGGGGAUGACGGUACCGGAAGAAUAAGCACCGGCUAACUACGUG